AGGGGCGCCAGAGCAGCGGGAUUAAGUGUAGAUGGGAAGGGAUUAGCCGUGUUGGUGGAAAGCGGCAAAAUUAAAUCAUGUACAUUUUACGAGGUAAGCUGAUCUCCAUGUUCUUCUGGAGGCUUUUGCUCUGCUCUCUGGGUAACGACUACAGCUCUAAGUAGCAGUGGUUUCAUCCUGCCUGUGUCUGGGGCCAUGUCUUCCUCGGUUUUUGUACCUUUCGGCACCUAGCAACAGGCAGCGAGCUAGGUAGAGGCAGAAUCAUUAUUUUCCGCUUGAAAUCAAACGUCUGAAAUUGAGGUUCAGAAUUCUGUUUCAUCACAGAGAUUUUGUGACAAUUCCCAGGGAAUCCAUGAACAAGGAAAUACAGUUCAAGGUUGAGGCUGUCAUGGAUGUGAGACUGUCCGUGUCCCAGUAAAUGCAAGCUGUAUUCCUCUGUGGGAACAGCUCUUUACAGUUUACAUGGUGGAUCAUUACAUUUGUCUCCUUUGGUCAUCGCCACCCUAUCCUCCCACCUCUGGUGAGGCACACAGCUACCAUUAGCCCCAUGUCACUUAGGAAAUUGAGACCAAGAGAGGCAGGCUGGAAGGAGAGAGUGAUGGGCAGUGAAGUGAAUGGAGACUGGGCACAAUCCUGAAUGCUACAUGCACAGCCCACCAGCACGCAGUGGUUGUAUCUCCUAGACAUGGAGUCAUUCUCUUUCCUUCAUAUUUGAACGGGAGUCAAAAAUCAAACAGAGCUCUGGUCUAACCAGCUGAGCUCUGGCCUAGUACCACCGCUGACAACACCUGGCUUUUGUGUAUAGGAGCAGACCAGGUCCCACCAUAGCCAUAUAAACUAGAGAACAGGACAUUUCCCUACAUGUAACAAGGGGAAUGAGGAGGAAUGAGGGACGCCAGAAAGCCCAAACCCCGAGACAUCCAUUACAUGAAGUAACCAGCCCAGAGACAGAGAGAGAGAGAUCUGAUAGAAAGCCAUGGUCCAGAGGAGAGACAGAGGGGCCUGAACUGGACCAGUGAAGACAGACAGAAAUAGAUCAGAAACUUGUAGUAGCUAAAACCCAGAAAUAAUUGGUGUAGGAUUCACUCUCAGAUAAGAGACGGCAAAGAUGAGGGUGACUCCCGUGUGUCUGGGUGGGCCCUGGGUAGGUGGGGGGAAGGCCCCUGUGUAUGAGGAACACAGCAUGGAGAGCCAGUGUGAGGGGCAGGACAGUGGACUCAGAUACAGCCAAGGGGUCAGGGUCACAGCCAAGUGGAGCCCAGCAGGCACUUGGAUCCGGGGUCUGGAGCUCAGGAAGAGAUUGGACUGGAAGUACUGGCCCAGGCACAUGGCUACUCAGAGAGUAAUGGGAAGCCCGAGAAUGAGGGAGAUCAUCAGAGACAGAAUGGGACAGGGCCCAGGGCAGAAUCAUGAGGUACAGUGACCUGUGAGGAAUCAGUCAAGGUGUGAGCAGGUGACAAAGGAAAAGAGAAGGAAGAACCUCAGAGAUGUGGACAAACAACUACGAGGGGGGUUGCCGGGGCAACCAAGGUAGCGAGGCAUUCCAGGGAGGAAGUAAUCAAUAUUGUCAAACACAGCAGAGAAUUCCAAAAAAGACGGACUUUUUUUUUCCUUUGAUCUCAUUAUUAGUAAGUUUUUGUUGACCUUAAUAAAAGCAUUUUGGGGGAGUAAUAGGGCAUAAACUGAACUAACGUUCAGAUGUGAGGGGGAGGUGAUUCUGUCACUAAGAGCCCUUUGAGGAGUCUGGAAGGGAGACUUGGAGAGGUGAAGGAUUAGGGGCAGAGAGUUUGAGCGUGGGAAAGAUAUGAGCAAGUUUAUAGGCAGACAUCAGCUCCCAGAUGCAACAAGCAUUGUUGAGUGACACAAUUUUUUCAUUCUACAUGUUCUAAUUUAAUGCCUAUCAUGUGCCUGGCAGAGUGCCUAGCAGCGUGGAUAUUUGGUAAAUGAAUUAGAAUCCCUGUUCCCAUGGAAGUUGUGUGGUAGGAGAGGAAAAAGACAGGAAUGAAAUAAUGGGCACACACCGAUAUGCAACAUGAAUGGGCACUCUGAAGGAGAGGAACUAAGUGCUGGAGGGUGUCCAACAAGGGGACCUGUCCUAGGCUGACUCCAGGAGCCUUCCCUGUGGCGGCGACACUCGAACCAAGUUGUUCAGAAGGGAAAGGAGUUAAGUGGACAGAGUAAACUAGGGAAAAGCGUUCUGGGCAGAGGGAACAGCCUGUGCAAAAGGAGAAGAGGUGAGACCAGAAAGCCAGGCGGUGCUGGUUGAGCAGGCUUUCGGAAGCCAGGACCGAGACCUGCUCUGGUAUGUCACUGUCAUCUGAGACUGGCUAUGCUAUGGAGAAAUCAGAAGGAGCACAAGGAGACUUCGGGAGACCAGUUAAGAAGUGUUUGGGUCAUGGUAGACAGAAUUUAGACAGUCAACAUAAUCUGGUUAGUCUUGGUGCUGAUGGAAUGAAGUAGGGCAGGGAGAGGAGGAGGAAUUCAGAAUGACCCCUGCAUUUCUGGCUUGCCAUACAGAUGAGGUGGGAGUGCCGUUCUCAGAAUUGGAAAGUCCUAAAAAGGGACAGGGUCUGUGAGGCCGACCCCAACUCUGGUAGUACACAGCUAAGACAUCCAAGUGGAGAUGGGAAGGAAGUGGCUGAAUACAUAUAUCCAGAGCAUAGAGUGAGAAAUUACAGAGAUGGGCUCAGAGCUCCUGAGGGAUCCCAAAUGUGAAUUAAAGCAGUGUCAGGUUUCUGGAACAUUCUGAGGCUAUGAAAGGUGGCUGAGGAAGAAGAGGCCUGAAAUGGUGCCCAAGAAGCACCAACACUUGGGAGCUGUAAAAGGAAAGAAGAAUCCUCCUAGGGCACUGAAGAGAAAGGACCAGGGAGGCCUUUCAAACCAGAAGGAUGACGUGGUCAGCAGAGAGGUCAGGUGGGGGGGGUGUGGCUGAUCUGUGGGCCCCUCUCAUGUCCAACUGCCCAGUUGCCACGGUGGCCCUGAUGAUCAGCACCCACCAGGGCCCAUGCUCUGAGACCUUUUGGGGACUUUGACCAAGACUCUUAAGGAAGAGGGAACAAAUUCUAAGGCCUUUUCAUUUUAAUCUUAAAGGAGAGCAAUGCUGGUGUAUGAAUAUUCUGAGUGAAGCAAGCCUGAGUGAUGAAGCAAUUAAGGGCAGAGACAAUUAGUGUGAAAUGAGCUCCCGAAGGGGCCGGGAUCAAGUCCAGUGGUGGAUAAAUUCAUUGGGGGCCGUAAUGUGUAUUAGACCAAAUGGGGCAAAAUGAAAUUAUUUACCUUUUAGAGAGUGACUUGAUCUCCAUGUUCUUUUGGGAGCUUUAAUCUGACCUGUGUACUGACUAUAGUGCUAAUUAAGUCAGUUUUAUCCUGUCUUGUGGCUGGGAUUGUGUCUUCGUUUUCUUGUUUCUCAGCACCUAACGACAGGCAAUAAGCAAUUUGGGUGCCAAAUCGGUAUUUUCUGCUUUGGGAUCAAAUAUCUGAAGUCAACACUCAAACUCUCUGACCAAAGAGAAUAUGUGACAAUUCUUCAGAAGUUACAAUGCAGGAAAGAACUGGGGCAUGAAGUCAUGAGGUUUGGGUGAGUGGAGGGAAGAAGGCAGGGGUUUGGGUGAGUGGAGGGAAAGCGGAGGUACCAGCUCCCCUCAUCCUUUUAAGCUCUGUGCCAUUUGUGUAUAUUCGCAUUCCUCAUCCCAACUGAACCUCACAUCCCCCCACAAGAUAAAGCAUGACCCAAUUUCAGAGAGGAGGAAACAGACGCCAGAGGAGGAAGUGCCUUACUGACACAGAGCACAAGUGGCGGGAGCUAGAUUCAGAACUCAGUGCAGCUAGUGUAACAGUCCUUCCCACGACCAGGCUGAGCCAGAGAGAAAGAGGGAGAGAGGGGGUCCAGGAGCCAGAGGUAGAGAUGCUCUGCGGGCACGUGCAGAGGGGUGGACGCACAGUCCAACUCCAGACCUACCGGAUAUUAAAGCAUCAAAUCCAACCGCAGUGAUGAAAUCUACAGUGUGAGAACAAGAGCGAGGAGCGUUCUUGUUUAAACUUCCCCACCGCAUGAAUGAUAUGUACAUUCUCUAUUUGCAUCUCAAGCUUCCGUAUUCUUAAAAACUUAAGUCUUUAAUCCAUCUGAAAUGUAUUUUUGCGUAUGGUGUGACACAGAGAUCUGAUCUGAUCUUUUUCCAGAUGGAUAACCAGCUUGCUAAGCACCAUUUAUUGUCCCAACACCAUCUUUUCUCCCAGUUCCCUAUGUCUAGACUCUAUUCAGAUCUGUUGAUCUGUUCGUCUACUUCUGGGCCAAUACCAGACUUGAAUGAGCAGAGCUUUCUCUUACUGCCUGAUGAGACAUGGUGUGUACACACUGGAGGUAUAGCUUGUUGAAGCUGGCGACUGGAGGCCAUAACCGAUUACACCACGUACGCACACACGAAGUAAUCGUUCUUCCUCCCUGGGCACAAGCAUGUGAGCAGAGCCAAACACAGGGCUGGCGUAACAGGCGGCAAACAAAUGAGAAUCUUUUCAAAUUAUACUUUAAUUAAACACACAAAGCAUGAAUACAUUCUCCUUUUUAAAAGUAGAAUAUGAAUACAGCCAAAGUUUUCCUUGGCCACCCUCCGAAACCCUAGUUUCCUACCCCCUCCACAACUUUAUGCAUCUCCUUUCAUAGAAAUAUAUAGUACUCAUGUAGAUAGUUUGAAUGAAUCAUCUCACUUUAUAAGGAUUUUACUGGAAGCUGCAUUUUCUUGCUCAAUCGUAUAUUUUUAGGAUAUACUCAAACUGAUGUAAAUGGCUCUUGCCAGUUCCUUUUAAUAGCUGUAUUGUACUCAUUCCUCUGUUGAUACCACAUUCUCUCUCCUCUAAGAUCCAGGCACAAAUGCGGUGGCCUCCUUUUCUUUCCUCCAUCAUAAGAAGCGCUGCAGAAAACAGCCUUGCACAUGCUGGCUCUGUAAUUUUUCUCUAGGAUUGAGAAUGGACUUUGGGGUCUCAAGGUGUCCACAUUUGUAGUUUUAACAGACACUACCGAUGUGUCCUCCUUAAUUUCUGUACCAUUUCAACUUGCAGUAAGAGGAUAGGAGAGGACUCAAAUCCCCACACCAUAAGCAGCUGUUUUAAAUAUUUGCCAAUCUGAUGGGCAAAAAAUGGAAGCAUUUUUUUUUUUAAUAUUUCUGUAUACCUGUUUGCAAGUGAGAUUUUCCUGGGCACUUGCUGUUUGUAUUUCCCUUUUCUGAAUUAUCUGUUUGUUUUUGCUCAUUAAAAAAAUUAGAUGGUUUGUCUUUAUCUUAUUGAUUUGUGGAAUUUCCUAAUCUAAUCUGGAUAGUGAUCUCUUGUAUAUACACAGCAAAUAUUUUCUUCCAGCUCCUCUGUGGCCUUUAACUCUUUGUAGGCUCCUUUAGACAGAAGUUAUUAAUUUUGACCUAAUCAAAUGUGUCAGUCUUUUCCUUUAUUCCUUUUACAUAUAUAUCACACUUGUGCCUUUCUCACUCCUACAUUUAAAUAUAUUGUGUAUUCUUUCCUUUU
Enhydra lutris kenyoni (northern sea otter) is the source of this 5508-nucleotide long non-coding RNA. RefSeq lists it as uncharacterized. NCBI's taxonomy places the organism in Eukaryota, Metazoa, Chordata, Mammalia, Carnivora, Mustelidae. The transcript has 3 exons. The record is from RefSeq and is a predicted model, not a curated record.